Molecule: ribosomal RNA, 250 nt
Filed under: uncultured bacterium
Lineage: Bacteria
Description: partial 16S ribosomal RNA
Rfam family: Bacterial small subunit ribosomal RNA
Source: RNAcentral
UACGGGGGUGGCGAGCGUUACUCGGAUUUAUUGGGUGUAAAGGGCAGGUAGGUGUUCCGCCAAGUUAGAAGUGAAAUCCUAAGGCUCAACCUUAGAACUGCUUCUAAAACUGGCGGAAUUGAGGACAGAAGAGGAAAGCGGAAUUCCCGGUGUAAGGGUGAAAUCUGUAGAGAUCGGGAGGAACACCAGUGGCGAAAGCGGCUUUCUGGUCUGUCCCUGACUCUGAACUGCGAAAGCUAGGGGAGCAAAC